CAGUCGCCGCGGUAAUACGGAGGGUGCAAGCGUUAAUCGGAAUUACUGGGCGUAAAGCGUGCGUAGGCGGUUCGUUAAGUCUGUUGUGAAAGCCCCGGGCUCAACCUGGGAAUGGCAAUGGAUACUGGCGAGCUAGAGUGUGUCAGAGGAUGGUGGAAUUCCCGGUGUAGCGGUGAAAUGCGUAGAGAUCGGGAGGAACAUCAGUGGCGAAGGCGGCCAUCUGGGACAACACUGACGCUGAGGCACGAAAGCGUGGGGAGCAAACAGGAUUAGAUACCCCUGUAGUCCCUGUCUUUUAUAC
RNAcentral lists this ribosomal RNA (301 nucleotides) under uncultured bacterium. RNAcentral's name for it is "partial 16S ribosomal RNA". It matches the Rfam family "Bacterial small subunit ribosomal RNA", at positions 509 to 809 of the family's 1533-position model. The record is from RNAcentral.